This 408-nucleotide ribosomal RNA is filed under the name uncultured bacterium. Its description in RNAcentral is "partial 16S ribosomal RNA". It matches the Rfam family "Bacterial small subunit ribosomal RNA", at positions 28 to 526 of the family's 1533-position model. The record is from RNAcentral.
GACGAACGCUGGCGGCGUGCUUAACACAUGCAAGUCGAACGAAGUGGCGAACGGGUGAGUAACGCGUAAUCAACCUGCCCUUCAGGGGGGGACAACAGUUGGAAACGCCUGCUAAUACCGCAUACUGACGGCGGGGAUUGCGUUUGAUUAGCUCGUUGGCGGGGUAACGGCCCACCAAGGCGAUGAUCAGUAGCCGGUCGGGGAGGAGGAACGGCCAAAUGGGGACUGGGAAACGGCCCAGGCUCCUACGGGGAGCAGCAGUGGGGAAUCUUCCGCAAUGGACGAAAGGCUGACGGAGCAACGCCGCGUGAGUGAUGACGGCCUUCGGGUUGUAAAGCUCUGUUAAUCGGGACGCGGUACCGGAAUAGAAAGCCACGGCUAACUACGUGCCAGCAGCCGCGGUAAUAC